Molecule: ribosomal RNA, 254 nt
Filed under: uncultured bacterium
Lineage: Bacteria
Description: partial 16S ribosomal RNA
Rfam family: Bacterial small subunit ribosomal RNA
Source: RNAcentral
CACGUAGGGGGCAAGCGUUGUCCGGAUUUAUUGGGCGUAAAGAGCUCGUAGGUGGUUCGGUAAGUCAGGUGUGAAACCUCCAGGCUCAACCUGGAGACGCCACUUGAUACUGCUGUGACUGGAGUCCGGUAGGGGAGCGUGGAAUUCCUGGUGUAGCGGUGAAAUGCGCAGAUAUCAGGAGGAACACCAGCGGCGAAGGCGACUUCCUGGCCUGUUCUUGACGCUGAGGCGCGAAAGCUAGGGGAGCAAACGGG